GCGACUGCGUACCUGCGCAAAGCUGGAAGCGGACGCUUUUUUCUUCUUACUGGCGCCAUAGCCCCCGCCGCUGCUGCCAUUGUGGGAAGGGCUGGCCGGCCUCUUCUUGCUGUUCCGGACUAUUCCGGGAGUGGAAGUGGUGGCCACAAUUGGAAUUUGCGCCGCCAUCGCACUCCGAGUCUUCCCCUGGUCCCCCCACCUUUUUCCCAGCGCGGGCCUUGGAACUUCCUUUCCGCUGUUACUUCCGUCUUGAUGCUUGAAAACCCGGCCUGGACUCCAAGCUGUAGCUGGCUUCUCUCGGUGCAAUCUAAAAGGCGGAGCUCGGAGUAGCCUGUGCCGUCGGGACGGGAAGAUGUCAGCGGGCGUUGUCCUGCCACUCGGGCGCUC
This 387-nucleotide long non-coding RNA is filed under the name Homo sapiens (human). RNAcentral's name for it is "HSALNT0249895". The record is from RNAcentral. Lineage: Eukaryota; Metazoa; Chordata; Mammalia; Primates; Hominidae.